CUUAAUAUUAUCAUUCUUCUUCUUUCACAUAUCUAGGGUUUAUCUUUCUUCUUCAUCUAAAGCCGACGUAGAGCCGCACACCGUAAACCAUCUUCAUCUUCGGCUUCUCUUGUUCGAUCAGGUGUUGCUGUCAUUUUGUUUUGGGAAGCCUGAAUAGGCGAGUCUACAUGUGUGUGCGUGGCCAUCUCUGUUGUAGUGUGUGUGUGGCCUGUGUUGGCUAAGAUGAUGAAUUGAACAGACUUUAUGGUCAGUUGGCAAAGAGGACUGGAUGAUAGAUGGUCCGAAUGGGAGUUGAGAUGGUAGAUGUACGAAAUUCUUUUGGCCAGAUACAUGGUCGUUUCUCUUUUGGAGGCUGUAAAAGAAAUAGUUUGCAUGGCAGAACAUAAAAUGUCAGUAAAUUGCAUCCAUAUGUGGAAUCCAUUUGCACCUAUGCAUAACUUUACUUAGAUCUCUUAUUAAUUGCUAAAACAAUUAUGUGUUUCAGCAUCUAAACAUGCAAAAUUGUUGUAUACAAAGGGUGUAUCCUUUUUAUCCUA
Long non-coding RNA from Carica papaya (papaya), 536 nucleotides. RefSeq lists it as uncharacterized. NCBI's taxonomy places the organism in Eukaryota, Viridiplantae, Streptophyta, Magnoliopsida, Brassicales, Caricaceae. The record is from RefSeq and is a predicted model, not a curated record.